RNAcentral lists this ribosomal RNA (605 nucleotides) under uncultured marine bacterium. Its description in RNAcentral is "bacterial SSU rRNA". It matches the Rfam family "Bacterial small subunit ribosomal RNA", at positions 30 to 639 of the family's 1533-position model. The record is from RNAcentral.
UACCCGCUUUGGCGGCAGGCCCUAAUACAUGCAAGUCGAGCGCGAAAGCCUUCGGGUGAGUAGAGCGGCGGACGGGUGAGUAACGCGUGGGAAUCUGCCCAGUAGUGGGGGACAACUUAUGGAAACGUAAGCUAAUACCGCAUACACCCUACGGGGAAAAGGGGGCUUCGGCUCUCGCUAUUGGAUGAGCCCGCGUUAGAUUAGCUAGUUGGCGGGGUAAAGGCCUACCAAGGCGACGAUCUAUAGCUGGUCUUAGAGGAUGAUCAGCCACACUGGGACUGAGACACGGCCCAGACUCCUACGGGAGGCAGCAGUAGGGAAUAUUGGACAAUGGGCGAAAGCCUGAUCCAGCCAUGCCGCGUGUGUGAAGAAGGCUCUAGGGUUGUAAAGCACUUUCAGUAGGGAGGAAAAGCUAGUAGUUAAUACCUGCUAGCCCUGACGUUACCUACAGAAAGAAGCACCGGCAAACUCCGUGCCAGCAGCCGCGGUAAUACGGGAGGGUGCGAGGCGUUAAUCGGAAUUAUACUGGGGCGAAAGGGGGGGGAGGGGGUUUGGUAACCGGAGGGGGAAUCCCGGGGCGCAACCGGGGAUACGGUUCGGACCGG